GGAGAGGUGCGAGAGCUGGUUUAAUCGGCGCGACUGGAAAUCGCGUUUCCGACGAAAGUUGGAACGAGGGUUCGAAUCCCUCCCUCUCCGCCA
This 93-nucleotide transfer RNA is filed under the name Candidatus Omnitrophota bacterium. RNAcentral's name for it is "Candidatus Omnitrophica bacterium tRNA-Ser". It matches the Rfam family "tRNA". Rfam says of the family: Transfer RNA (tRNA) molecules are approximately 80 nucleotides in length. Their secondary structure includes four short double-helical elements and three loops (D, anti-codon, and T loops). Further hydrogen bonds mediate the characteristic L-shaped molecular structure. tRNAs have two regions of fundamental functional importance: the anti-codon, which is responsible for specific mRNA codon recognition, and the 3' end, to which the tRNAs corresponding amino acid is attached (by aminoacyl-tRNA synthetases). tRNAs cope with the degeneracy of the genetic code in two manners: having more than one tRNA (with a specific anti-codon) for a particular amino acid; and 'wobble' base-pairing, i.e. permitting non-standard base-pairing at the 3rd anti-codon position. The record is from RNAcentral. Lineage: Bacteria; Pseudomonadati; Candidatus Omnitrophota.